GAACACAGCAUGCAAUAGAAACACUCAGAAAUUUGAUAAACCCCUCAACAAAAAAAUGAUUCUUUUCAGGCAGCCCAAGCCAACAUUGUACAAGGGCCACAAGGUCCAGGGCCACAAGGACAAGGGACACAAGAACAAGGGACACAAGGACAAGGGACACAAAAGACGCUGUUGUAGUCUACUGGGUGUCACAGAGAAUGAGCGAUUUCAUCAUCACCAAGGCCAGCCCGACUCGAGCGAAGUUGCAGAGAUGAAAGUCGAUCACUGUCUCAAGGAGGUUUGAAGGAGGAUGCAAGCAUUGCCCACUGCAGAUUGAGAUGACGGCUGUCGAGACCCAACCACUCAAACAAGAUCUACAAUUCGUGCUAUGGUAGAUGUGACUCUCAAAGAUUUUGGAUGACGAAGGAAUCCAACGCA
Long non-coding RNA from Lineus longissimus, 417 nucleotides. RefSeq lists it as uncharacterized. NCBI's taxonomy places the organism in Eukaryota, Metazoa, Nemertea, Pilidiophora, Heteronemertea, Lineidae. The record is from RefSeq and is a predicted model, not a curated record. The transcript is spliced from 3 exons.